GAUGAACGCUGGCGGCGUGCCUAAUACAUGCAAGUCGAGCGAACAGACGAGGAGCUUGCUCCUCUGACGUUAGCGGCGGACGGGUGAGUAACACGUGGAUAACCUACCUAUAAGACUGGGAUAACUUCGGGAAACCGGAGCUAAUACCGGAUAAUAUAUUGAACCGCAUGGUUCAAUAGUGAAAGACGGUUUUGCUGUCACUUAUAGAUGGAUCCGCGCCGCAUUAGCUAGUUGGUAAGGUAACGGCUUACCAAGGCAACGAUGCGUAGCCGACCUGAGAGGGUGAUCGGCCACACUGGAACUGAGACACGGUCCAGACUCCUACGGGAGGCAGCAGUAGGGAAUCUUCCGCAAUGGGCGAAAGCUUGACGGAGCAACGCCGCGUGAGUGAUGAAGGUCUUCGGAUCGUAAAACUCUGUAAUUAGGGAAGAACAAAUGUGUAAGUAACUAUGCACGUCUUGACGGUACCUAAUCAGAAAGCCACGGCUAACUACGUG
RNAcentral lists this ribosomal RNA (497 nucleotides) under uncultured bacterium. Its description in RNAcentral is "partial 16S ribosomal RNA". It matches the Rfam family "Bacterial small subunit ribosomal RNA", at positions 28 to 507 of the family's 1533-position model. The record is from RNAcentral.